UAAGACAGGCGAGCCAGUCUGCAUGUGGUUGUGGAAAGGAAGUCGUAGGUAUAAUAACAAUAAUACACAAUAAUAAAUAGAAAAAAACGAUGAGGGCAUGUGUCUGGUUAAAGAAAUGACCACAGAAUGAAUCGUGAAAAACCCUCCCUCCCAUUUGGCUGGAUUGUGAAACAGUCGUCAACGUACCCGGAACGUGUCUACUACUUCAACACACACAGUGGUGUAACAACAUGGGAAAUGCCUCAUCUCGUCAAAACGAACAACAAUGCUAUACCUCCACCUUGUCAUGCAGGAAAGGAACAAUUCAGUCCACCAUGCAGUCCUCGCUACUCUCCGACCGACUCCUCCGAUGAUUCCCCAUAUUACAGUGAAGCAGAAAAGCAGGACCCCCAGAAUGAGCCUGUGUUUAGUCAGUUCCAGAAGAACAUCUAUGAUGAUGUGAUUUCCAACUCUCCGUCUCACGAAAAAGACGAACAGGUAAGACCCACCAAAGAACAGUCCACUGGACAAGUACCAAAAAGAUCUCAAGGAAAAUGUCCGGACACCAGUUAUAAACACAAAGUCCGUGAGAAAGUGUCUAUGAAGGAGGAGAAGUGUAAGUCUGAGGAGAAAGUUCCUCGAGUUAAAUUCAAAAUAGAGACGCCUGAUUCAAAAUUACAGGUGAAAAAGGAAGUGAGUGACAAGCCAAGGAAGUUUGCACAAGGUGACCGACAACACUCCUUUAAUAUUUCCAAAGUGUUAACAGAAAUCAGAAAAGAUGUUGAGUCUUCUGAUAAUGUUAAAACUUCAAAGAAGAAAACUACAUCGGGAAGUGAUUCUGUUAGUAGUAUACAGAGGAUGGGGGAAUUCCCACUGCCGCUUACGAGGAAAAUUGGCAGGAGAGAGGUUGUGCGUUCAUCGGAACAUAACAAAACACAAGACAAAUCUCCACUAAAAAAGAAGGGUGAAAGUGGCAGGAGAGAGGUGGUGCGUUCACCGGAACAUAACAAAACACAAGACAAAUCCCCACGGACAAAGAAGGGGGAAAGUGGCAGGAGAGAGGUGGUGCGUUCAUCGGAACAUAACAAAACACAAGACAAAUCCCCACGGACAAAGAAGGGUGAAAGUGGCAGGAGAGAGGUGGUGCGCUCAUCAGAACGUCACAAAACACAAGACAAAUCCCUGACUGCUGCUGGAGCAGGGCGGUUUUCUAAUCUAGUACAUUUGAAACAGGGCAAGGACCCUGAGACGGUACCCAGUUCGUCAAGCAAAGAUUUGUGGACACGGAAAAGAAAAAAUUCAGAUUCCCCCACCAGUGAUGUUGUGCCUGUGAAAAUUGUGCCAAAGAAUAAUUUGUCUCUAAAAGUAUCAGUUGGAGAGAAGAGGAAAGUUGUAUUGAGUCCUCAAAGAAGGACUAAAUGUAGCCGUCAAUCAUCAGGUGAAUAUCUUGACCUCAAUGUGGAAGACCAGACAGUAGCAGAUCGUCUUCAGCGUGUCAAUCAAAAUACUUCAGCUGUUGUUGUUCGAUCACCUGUGUUUGACAGGUUGAAUGUUUCAAGUGAAGUAAGUCCGCUGAACAUUCCAGGCCCCAGUGCUGCAGUCCUCUCCCCAGUUAGAAAACAUAGACCUAACCAUCAGCCUGAUGUCAGGAGGGUGGUCUCGUCGGACAGUGAGGCUAACACUAACAACAGUGUCCCUGGGGACCCCCCCGGUCCUCGACCCCCUCCACAGGCAGACAGACUUGACCGCGUCCAGGAGUGGAUAGAUCUUAUUAAUGGGAGUCAGGAGGUCCAGCCGGAAACACCUGCAUGGUCUCAGCCUUCUGUUCAGGUUCAAGCCCUGCUAGAGCAUCCCCAGGAUGAGGAUGAGGUCUGUGACAUGGAGGUGGACGAAGACACCGACGAGGACGAGGAUCAGAUGAUAAUAGAUCUUCAAGAAGUCCGAGGAGAAUUAGAGUUCAGUUCUAGUCAGUCAGCGUUUGACCUGUCUCUGCCAUGUUCGGCUACACGGGCUGAAGCAGCCUCACAGGGGCUGUAUCUGGUUGUGGACACGAGUGUGCUCGUUAAUCACCUGAAGCCUCUGUCUGACCUGCAUGAUGAGGACAUACAAGGGUUCGGGCUGCCGACGCUGGUGUUCCCCUGGGUGGUGCUGCAGGAACUCGAUGCCCUCAAGGACAACCGGGCACGGCUAAGUCUCUCCAUGAGCUGCCAGAGCAAGGCGAGUCGAGCUGUCAAAUACAUCAAUGCCUGCUUCACCGGGAGACAUCCCAGAGUAACUGGCCAGUCUCAUAGAGAGGCAGCGGAGAUGGUGGAGGGGCUGGAGAUAGAAUGCAACGAUGACCGGGUGCUACAAUGCUGCUUGCAGUUCAGAAAUAAGUUUCGGACGUUGAGUGUGAUUCUCCUGUCGGAGGACGUCAACCUGUGUAACAAAGCCAUGAUGUGUGGGCUGGAUGCAGGCAGCAUCAAGAAUAUUCAUGGAAUCCUCGUCCUAUCUCAAGCUGUUCAAGAGCCCAACAGUGCUCAAGGAACAAACACAGUGCCUGUGAUACCCCUCACAUCACCACCAUGUCCCUCACCAGUCACGCAAGGGACACGCCCUCGUACCUCAUCAGUCACAACAGAGAAACAGGGUCACACCACGUUCGUCACACCUGUUCGUCCUGCUCAGAUGAACCGAGUCCAGAUUGACGAGAUGGUGGUGAAGGUCAAGGCUGUUGUCAAGGACACACUUGGUCUGGUUCUUGAGACCGAGAUGAAAGCAGCAUAUGACAACAUUUGGAAGACUGUUGUCUACCGGAAGCCACCUUGGUCUGCUGUGGACAUCAUGGAAUCCAUCAGGAAGCACUGGAUGGCUGUGUUUGGUAUGAUCUUGCCGAAGCAGAUGUCCAACACUGUCAACUCCAUCACCACCAAGUUCCAGCCUAACAAAGUUCCCCUCCUGAGGAGCUGUGAGGUGCUAGAGCUGAUACAGGAGCUGAUGCAGCUCAUGGAGGCACUGCAAAAACAUUCCAGCUAUAAGGGCAGAGUAAGCAUUUCUAUAGACAAACUGAAGACUGUGCAGAUGCAACUACACCACCUGAAGACUGCACCAACCUCAUCAACACCAACAUCAUCAACACCUUCAUCAUCAACACCAACAUCAUCAACACCAGCUUCAUCAACAGCACCAUCGUCUACACCUACACAGCCCAGAACAUUUACAUGCAAGCCUGUUGCCAGUCAGUCGUCCACACCGACACAAGUCUCUGUUGACCGUCCUGCUCCUUCCACACAUAGAGAUGUCACUCCUAGUCCCCGGCGACCUUCACAAGCAGGCUCUGCAGCCACCGGGACAAGCUCUGACUCCCUAGUCAAACCCUCCGGCUCGAGUCUAGCUGGGUCCAGAAUCAGGGUCAGACCUGCCGGCACUGCUCAAGCCUCCACCAGCUACAACACCGCUACAACCGCUGUCACGGCAACCCCCACAGCUAGGCAGCCUGUCCACACACAGGAUCCGACUGUGGUACAGGACUGUUUCCAGCUUGUGUGGGCGAAUGUGUACCAAGUGUGUGUGGAGAUCGAAGCCUCCCUGUCGCAGUCCGUCAACAACAGCUACCUCAGUCUAUUGACUCGCCUCACCAGGAUCAUCAAGGACCUUCGAUAUGAGUUUGCCCUAUGUCUUUCAAUUUCUCCCUAUGAAAUUUCUAAUGAGAGAGAGAAAUUUCAAAACUUCUGUGAACAGCUGAACACAGUAUUUGUGAAGCUGAAGCAUAAGCCAGUAGAGUUCGAGUCAGUUACAGUCGAUGCCCUGAUGUCCUUUUUCCGUACCACCAACAACAGGCCGCUCCUUCAGUCAGGCUUGAUGCAACUGGACAGCAUCAUCCGCAGCCUGUACGAACUGGUUAAGCAGCUGCCCGACUGACGAACAGGUCCGACCAUCAUCCUGGAUCUCACUUGAUGCUAUAUAGGAUGUUAAAGAUGCACGGGUACAUCAUCCAUAAUGACUGGCCAGACUGACUGACCAACAGGUAGGACCACCAUGAAAAGGUUAAAGUAAGUCAAAGGUCAAGGCCAUGAGGAAAAGAAGUCGGAUGCAGAUGCAGAUUGAUCGUGAAUCAAGAAAAUUGUAUUCCUUUGUCUGUCUAGAACCAUACGGUCUGCACUUCAGACUUUCCUCUAUCUCUAACUCUCUUAAGCUGUGAUACGUAUAACUGAAAUUCCAUCAAUCAAUCAAUCAAUCAACCCAUACCCCCACCCACCCUCCGACGAAUGAACGAUAGAACGAGAACAAUCCACCCAGUUAAGGUACAAUGACUAGACAAACAAAUGACUGAAAACAUCAGCAGUAUUCUGCCAUGGUGCUACAUUAACACAGUCAGCCAAAUCACAGUCUGACCACCUAGUCCUCUGUAGCCAUCUCACUCGUGGAGAUCCGAGGUAGAAUAGGUCUUCAGCAACCCAUGCUUGCUGGUAAAAGGCGACUAUGCUUGUCGUAAGAGGCGACUAACGGGAUCGGGUGGUCAGACUUGCUGACCUGGUUGAUGCAUGUCAUCA
This 4511-nucleotide unclassified non-coding RNA is filed under the name Haliotis rufescens (red abalone). RNAcentral describes it as "uncharacterized LOC124152764, transcript variant X4". Lineage: Eukaryota; Metazoa; Mollusca; Gastropoda; Lepetellida; Haliotidae. The record is from RNAcentral.